GAUGAACGCUAGCGGCAGGCCUAACACAUGCAAGUCGAGGGAGAAGCCCUUUCGGGGGCAGAAACCGGCGCACGGGUGCGUAACGCGUAUGCAACCUACCUUUCACAGGGGGAUAGCCCGAAGAAAUUUGGAUUAAUACCCCAUAAUAUUGUUGGAUGGCAUCAUUUGGCAAUUAAAACUGAGGUGGUGAAAGAUGGGCAUGCGUCCUAUUAGCUAGUUGGAGUGGUAACGGCACCCCAAGGCUACGAUAGGUAGGGGUCCUGAGAGGGAGAUCCCCCACACUGGUACUGAGACAGGGACCAGACUCCUACGGGAGGCAGCAGUGAGGAAUAUUGGUCAAUGGUCGGAAGACUGAACCAGCCAUGCCGCGUGCAGGAAGAAUGCCUUAUGGGUUGUAAACUGCUUUUAUAUGGGAAGAAUAAGGCGUACGUGUACGUUGAUGACGGUACCAUAUGAAUAAGCAUCGGCUAACUCCGUGCCAGCAGCCGCGGUAAUACGGAGGAUGCGAGCGUUAUUCGGAAUCAUUGGGUUUAAAGGGUCUGUAGGCGGGCUAUUAAGUCAGGGGUGAAAGGUUUCAGCUUAACUGAGAAAUUGCCUUUGAUACUGGUAGUCUUGAAUAUCUGUGAAGUUCUUGGAAUGUGUAGUGUAGCGGUGAAAUGCUUAGAUAUUACACAGAACACCGAUUGCGAAGGCAGGGGACUAACAGACAAUUGACGCUGAGAGACGAAAGCGUGGGGAGCGAACAGG
This 747-nucleotide ribosomal RNA is filed under the name uncultured Capnocytophaga sp. RNAcentral's name for it is "bacterial SSU rRNA". It matches the Rfam family "Bacterial small subunit ribosomal RNA", at positions 28 to 776 of the family's 1533-position model. Lineage: Bacteria; Pseudomonadati; Bacteroidota; Flavobacteriia; Flavobacteriales; Flavobacteriaceae. The record is from RNAcentral.